GGCUUGUGGCUCAGUGGUAGAACGCUCAUCUCUCAUGUGUGAAACACUGGGUUCAAUCCUCAGUGCCA
RNAcentral lists this transfer RNA (68 nucleotides) under Marmota monax (woodchuck). Its description in RNAcentral is "tRNA.Glu". The record is from RNAcentral. Lineage: Eukaryota; Metazoa; Chordata; Mammalia; Rodentia; Sciuridae.